Long non-coding RNA from Helianthus annuus (common sunflower), 503 nucleotides. RefSeq lists it as uncharacterized. The transcript is spliced from 3 exons. Lineage: Eukaryota; Viridiplantae; Streptophyta; Magnoliopsida; Asterales; Asteraceae. The record is from RefSeq and is a predicted model, not a curated record.
AGGGCUUUUAUUAGCUUAAAAAAAGCGCAUAUCUAAUAUCUUCAGAAACCACCAGAUCUUCACAUAUACGCUCCCCAGACACACGCUCCCCACACGACUCCUUCACUUCUCCUCCUGCCGCCACAGAUCGCCGGCUCCCACCAUCACCGAUCAAACUUCCACAGAUGGAAACUAAUGAUGGUCGACAACAAUGGAUGCAUGAGGCUAUCAAAUGCAUGUUAGAAACAUGUUUUGAAGAAAUAGGGAGAGUAGGUAGAAAUAGACAAAGCUUGCGUAGAGAGUCUUGGGGUAGGGUAGGAGCGAAACUUAAGGAAGAGUUUGGAUUUGAUUUGAAUCAAAAGCAAAUUAGAAAUGCUUUUGAUACCAUGAAAUCAAAAUACGUAGGAUGGUGCUAUUUGAGAAACAAGACUGGAAAUCUCUACAACCCACAAACAAAUAUGUUCACUUUAACGCCUCAAGAAUGGGAUGACUUUAAGAAGGGUCACCCAAGGGCAAUGUCAUUG